Molecule: long non-coding RNA, 3179 nt
Organism: Penaeus chinensis
Lineage: Eukaryota; Metazoa; Arthropoda; Malacostraca; Decapoda; Penaeidae
Exons: 2
Source: RefSeq, a predicted model, not a curated record
ACACCAAAACAAACCUGGCGAGGGUUAGUAACAAUUUCGUUCCCGGAGAAGCAGGUGUUCACACGGGGUUUAUCGAGAAUGCUGACGUGGAAACUAUAAAUUUUCUUCUCCUGGUUAUGAACAUCAAAACAGCAUGAUUCCAGCAUCAGCUGUAGAGUGGUGAAGUCACACAAACAGAUAAUGCAUCACACAACUCAUCACUCAAGCCUUCAAGCAUAAUGAAUUUCCGUCAGAGAAUGGCAUGGCUAUGCCUAGCCUUUUACCUAGCAACUUCCUUUGCUGUUGUGUACUACUUCCUCGACAUUGCUGACCAGUAUGCUUUAUUUUCCCUAGAACAUUCAAAGCUGCACAAGUCAGGUGAUUCUGACAUUCCACUGUGGAAGUUCUGGCACCACAUUGGUGAUAUUCCAUUCCCUGUGUUAUUGGUACUGUUGGCUGUUCCCUAUUUUCAGGUUUUUGCAGCCCUCUUUUACUGCACUCUUCCUACAGCAAAUAAAAAUGUAAAUAAGUGCCUUGUGCCAGUUAUAGGUUGGAUAUAUAUGUUUCAGAAAGUUUUGACACUUUUCAAAGACCAUAAUGCUAAAAAUACUAUGCAUGAAAACUUACAUGUAGUUAGUAUGUCAUGAAUCAACACAUUUUCAGGGAAAGUUUUUGGUACACAUAUGUAAUGAUUUUCCUCUUAAAUGGAGAGUUUUGAAUGAAAUUAUUUUCUGCAGGCAGUUAUGAAAGAGAUGUGAAUUGUAUGAAUUAUAUUGAAUAGGAGAAAGAUUUUAAAAAUGCAAGAGAAUUGUGAUUUCCUCCCAUGCUGUCCAAUAUUAAUAUAGAUAUGAAAGACAUAAGAUGUAUAUAACACACACACACACACACACACACACACACACACACACACACACACACACACACACACACACACACACACACACACACACACACACACAUAUAUUAAAUUUACAUGUAUGUAUGUGUGUAAGUAUAUUUACGCAUUGAUGAAGAGAUUAUUGGCAUUUAGGUUAAACUAACCGUCCACUGUAUUAAAUUAUAUUGAUACAUUGUGAACUGAGCAAUUGAAUACAUCUGUGAUGAUCCAGUAGAAGGAUAAUUGUUCUUAAGUAUAUUUGUUUUAACAUCAAGGAAGCAUGAAUAUAUUUUUAUGGAAUUUUCAUUAACUCAUCCACAUAUACAUAUGACAUAUGUAUGAGAUUAAGUAGAGGCAUAUGCAUAUGUGUACACCAUCCCUUACACACAUACACAUUCAGUCAUGUAUCAAGUCAUGUUGUUCUUUUCCCAUCUUAAUUUCUUCUCUCCUUCUCACUCUUUCUCAUCUCCCAUCUCUCUCUCCUCUUUUUCUCUCUCUUUCCUCUCUCUCCCCACUCUCUUACCCUUUCCUCUCUCCUUUCUCUCCUUUCUCUCCUUCUCCUUCUCUCCUUCUCCCUCUUACUCUACCUCUUCUUCUACUCCUCCCUCUCCCUACUCCUCCUCUUUAUUCUCAGAGCCAUAUUCACACUUUAAAAACAUUGCCUAUACUCUCAUGUGUGUGGUUAGCAUACUGUAACUGUAUUCAGUCUGGAUUCAUGUAUGAGGACUUCCCGUAAUUAUUUGAGUCCUUUUUGUUUGCUUUCAUAUGUUCUUGGUAUCAUUAUAGAGUGAUCUAGUCAGUGUGACAACUUGAAUUCCAAAUAUUUAGAGAAAUUUUAUAUUUAAUUUUGAGUCGUUGCAAAUGGAAAGUACUUUGCUGGUUGUAUUACUGAAAAUUGGCAAUAUAUAAAUGUAGAUGGAAAGCAGAAUAUAUAAUUUACACUUACCAACAGUGUAAUUACUGAACGGUUGUAAAUUCUUACAAUGUAUAUGGGUGGCAGCAAUAGUCUUUUGUUUUGCUGUAGUUAUAACACAAGUAACUGUGCAUUUGUUGUUUUUAUAUAUAUAUUUUUUUAUACAUAAUCUGAUGUACCUUCUACCACCAGAUGAUUGUCACUUUACGUACAAAAUCUAUGCCACAUCGGAAGCAGAUACAUUUUUACGAUUUCACUUUGUUGGCUUGAGGAUAGUCAUUGCUCAGAUGUUUAUGAAGGUCUUUGAUAUGCAAGUCAGUUCAUGAUUCAUUCUGCAUUAUUUAUUGGUAUCGUACUAGUUGUUUAUGUACAAUGAGUAAUUUAUUCUCAUUUUCAUGAUUUUAUUUGUUUUUAUUUUUUUCUCUCCAAUAGUGAGUAUUGCUAUUUAGUAGUUGAUUUUGACAGACUGUGUGCUUGGCUGACUCACCUGUGAUACCUUUGAAUGAAGGUAAUUUUCACAUUUUUAUUUUACUUUCAAAAUGUCAAAAACUGAGUUGUAAAAUCUAUGAUCAUGUCACUAGAAAAUGGAAUCAGAUUUUCAUAUUUGAAAGCUUAUCGUCAAGCUCAGAAAUAAAGACCUAUAUCAGGCCAGGUUUAUUGGGCCGAUUUUCACACUCUUAGUUGUAAUUGUUAAUGGCUCAAAAUAGGUUCUAAGAAAAAGGUACGCAUUUUAUACUUUGGUCGUUCAGUGCCAGGAAAGGCACUGAUCAAUGAUUAGAAAGGCCUAGGAGACUGGAUGUAAAGCUCUUUGACAGCAGAUAUUUUGGCUGUGCAUAUUUAAAUGGAUUUAUCUGGAUGCUGGAUAACUGUAAUUAACCAUAAUGUUAUCUCUUCUCUAAACCCUUCUGCCCUGUAAUAGUGUGUAACUGUAUACAGUCUCCCCAAGAUGUAGGGGAUAGAUAACCUAUAAUCGGUUUCUCGAAAGUUAUGCCUUUUUUCUUUUCUCUUUUUACCAUCUAAAGCAGUUGCAUAUGACUUUCCAGUGCAUCUAUGACCUUAAAACAUAGGUUCAUAAAAUUGCUUACUAUGAUACAUUCCACUGCCACAAAGAUUCUUGAAAUUACAAUAACAUAGUAAGAAUAAGAGUUACCAGGUAUAUAGAGAUCCGAAUGUGCAGUUUACAUGUGGUUGGACUGAGCUUGAAUGCGAGUAAUAUUAUAAGUGUGCUGUAAAAGGGUAUUAAAAUUUUUUUACAUCUAUAAUUAAGCGCAGAAGAUUUAUUUGUUAUUAUUUCUGUAAUGUUAGAUGUGGUUUGCUGUUUUGUGUAUGUAAACUGGAUUCUUAACGUAAUUAAGUAUUUUGGAUUUUAUGUACAUGGAAAGGAUUAUGAUUACAAUAUUUUGAAUGUUU